RNAcentral lists this ribosomal RNA (497 nucleotides) under uncultured bacterium. Its description in RNAcentral is "partial 16S ribosomal RNA". It matches the Rfam family "Bacterial small subunit ribosomal RNA", at positions 28 to 507 of the family's 1533-position model. The record is from RNAcentral.
GAUGAACGCUGGCGGCGUGCCUAAUACAUGCAAGUCGAGCGAACAGACGAGGAGCUUGCUCCUCUGACGUUAGCGGCGGACGGGUGAGUAACACGUGGAUAACCUACCUAUAAGACUGGGAUAACUUCGGGAGACCGGAGCUAAUACCGGAUAAUAUAUUGAACCGCAUGGUUCAAUAGUGAAAGACGGUUUUGCUGUCACUUAUAGAUGGAUCCGCGCCGCAUUAGCUAGUUGGUAAGGUAACGGCUUACCAAGGCAACGAUGCGUAGCCGACCUGAGAGGGUGUUCGGCCACACUGGAACUGAGACACGGUCCAGACUCCUACGGGAGGCAGCAGUAGGGAAUCUUCCGCAAUGGGCGAAAGCCUGACGGAGCAACGCCGCGUGAGUGAUGAAGGUCUUCGGAUCGUAAAACUCUGUUAUUAGGGAAGAACAAAUGUGUAAGUAACUAUGCACGUCUUGACGGUACCUAAUCAGAAAGCCACGGCUAACUACGUG